GCCAGGCGUGGUGGCGGGUGCCUGUAAUCCCAGCUACUCAGGAGGCUGAGGCAGAGAAUUGCUUGAACCCAGGAGGCAGAGGUUGCAGUGAACUGAGAUUGGGCCACUGCACUCUAGCCUGGGUGACAGAGCAAGACUCUGUCUUAA
Unclassified non-coding RNA from Pongo abelii (Sumatran orangutan), 147 nucleotides. It matches the Rfam family "Metazoan signal recognition particle RNA". From Rfam's summary of the family: The signal recognition particle (SRP) is a universally conserved ribonucleoprotein. It is involved in the co-translational targeting of proteins to membranes. The record is from Ensembl. NCBI's taxonomy places the organism in Eukaryota, Metazoa, Chordata, Mammalia, Primates, Hominidae.